This is a long non-coding RNA of Ornithodoros turicata, 269 nucleotides long. RefSeq lists it as uncharacterized. The record is from RefSeq and is a predicted model, not a curated record. The transcript has 4 exons. NCBI's taxonomy places the organism in Eukaryota, Metazoa, Arthropoda, Arachnida, Ixodida, Argasidae.
UGUUUUACGCCACUGCUGUUGGACGAGCAACGCACCACUGUUUCAAGAACUGCAUGAAGUACAUUUCGGAUUUGCAUUACAAACCUGACACUAACCUGAUUUUUGAGCUGAGUAACUUCUACUGCGAGCACGGUGCAUCGUGUGUGGAAGGUGUUCCCAGAGAAGACGUUCCUGAGAUUAUAGAAUGUCUUCUGGACUUCAUCGUGGCAAACUGGUCUAAGAUCCACCUAUUCGACGACCAUGAUAUCGAAUGCGCAAGGACAGCAAUG